AAUAAAUAUAUGGGGCUGGGACCCCCCCCCCAGGACCCCCCCGGGGUGGGAGCCCCCCCCCGUUGCACGCCCAGGGGGUGGGAGCCCCCCUUUGUGCCACCCCCCCAUUGCACACCCCCAUAGAUGCCCCCCCCUUACACCCCCAUAACCGUGCCCCCCCCUAUAUCCCAAUCCCCCCCCCCCCCCCCCCCCCCCCCCCCCCCCCCCCCCCCCCCCCCCCCCCCCCCCCCCCCCCCCCCCAUAUCCCCCCCCCGUCCCCCCCCCCCCCCCCCCCCCCCGGUGCGUUGCACACGCGCGUGCAAGGCGUGCUCAGUUGCAGGAUUACCGCAGCUUCGCGCGCACGGGGGGCCCGGGGGGCAGCGCGGCGCUGCAGCGCGUGGUGGGGCAGUUCAAUGGGGUCUCGCGCUGGGCCCAGCUCCUGGUGCUCAGCCCCACGGCGGCCCCACAGCGGGCGCGGGUCCUGGCCCGAUUCCUGCACGUGGCGCAGGUGACCCAUAGCUGACCUAUGGCUGACCCCUAGGUGACCCCUAGGUGACCCAUAGCUGCCCUAUAGGUGACCCAUAGCUGACCUAUAGAUGACCCAUGGCUGACCCCUAGUUGACCCAUAGCUGACCCAUGGCUGCCCUAUAGAUGCCCUAUAGAUGACCCCGAGGUGACCCAUAGCUGACCCACAGAUGACCCAUGGCUGCCCCAUAGAUGACCCAUGGCUGCCCCAUAGCUGCCCUAUAGAUGACCCAUAGCUGCCCUAUAGGUGACCCAUAGAUGACCUAUGGCUGCCCCAUAGCUGACCCACAGAUGACCCAUAGCUGCCCCAUAGAUGACCCAUGGCUGCCCCAUAGCUGCCCUAUAGAUGACCCCGAGGUGACCCAUAGCUGAUCCACAGAUGACCCAUGGCUGCCCCAUAGAUGACCCAUGGCUGCCCUAUAGAUGCCCUAUAGGUGACCCAUAGAUGACCCAUACGUGACCCAUAGCUGCCCUAUAGAUGACCCCUAGGUGACCCAUGGCUGACCCAUACGUGACCCAUAGCUGCCCUAUAGGUGACUCCUAGGUGACCCAUAACUGCCCCAUAUCACCCCAUAGCCCCCCAUAUCCCCCCCCAGCCUCCCCCAGCCCCCCAUAUCCCCCCCCA
RNAcentral lists this long non-coding RNA (1129 nucleotides) under Cairina moschata (Muscovy duck). Its description in RNAcentral is "domestica (muscovy Duck (domestic type)) lncRNA (ENSCMMG00000013334.1)". The record is from RNAcentral. Lineage: Eukaryota; Metazoa; Chordata; Aves; Anseriformes; Anatidae.